UCGCUUUGGCAGCAUAUACACUAAAUUUGGAAUGAUACAGAGAACAUUAGCAUGGCCCUUGUGCAAGGAUGACACACAAAUUCAUAAAGCAUUCCAUAUUUUU
This is a small nuclear RNA of Macaca mulatta (Rhesus monkey), 103 nucleotides long. The record is from Ensembl. Lineage: Eukaryota; Metazoa; Chordata; Mammalia; Primates; Cercopithecidae.